Oncorhynchus tshawytscha (Chinook salmon) is the source of this 428-nucleotide long non-coding RNA. Lineage: Eukaryota; Metazoa; Chordata; Actinopteri; Salmoniformes; Salmonidae. The record is from Ensembl.
GAGAGAGACAGGCAGAGACAGAGAGAGACAGGCAGAUGGGCAGAGACAGGCAGAUGGGCAGAGACAGGCAGAGAGAGAGAGACAGGCAGAGAGAAAGGGAGAGAGACAGGCAGAGACAGAGGGGAGAGAGAUACAGGCAGAGAGAGAGAGAGAGACAGGCAGAGAGACAGGCAAAGAGAGAGAGACAGGCAGAGAGAGAGAGAGAGACAGGCAGAGAGAGAGAGACAGGCAGAGAGAGAGAGAGAGAGAGACAGGCAGAGAGAGAGAGAGACAGGCAGAGACAGAGAGAGAGACAGGCAGAGACAGAGACAGAGAGACAGGCAGAGCAGGCAGAGACAGAGGGAGAGAGAGACAGGCAGAGACAGAGAGAGACAGGAAGAUGGGCAGAGACAGGCAGAGAGAGACAGAGAGAGAGAGACAGAGGCAGG